Small nuclear RNA from Dasypus novemcinctus (nine-banded armadillo), 164 nucleotides. Its record names the gene U1. It matches the Rfam family "U1 spliceosomal RNA". Rfam says of the family: U1 is a small nuclear RNA (snRNA) component of the spliceosome (involved in pre-mRNA splicing). Its 5' end forms complementary base pairs with the 5' splice junction, thus defining the 5' donor site of an intron. Lineage: Eukaryota; Metazoa; Chordata; Mammalia; Cingulata; Dasypodidae. The record is from Ensembl.
GUGCUUACCUGGCAGGGGGGACACCACGGUCACGACGGUGGCUUUCCCAGGGCGAGGCUGGUCCAGUGCACUGGGGACCUGCUGAGCCCUGCGAUUUCCCCGCAUCGGGGAAACUCAACUGUGCAGUUUGUGUUGCUGGGGGGCUGCGAGCGCGCUCUCCCGCG